This 310-nucleotide ribosomal RNA is filed under the name uncultured bacterium. RNAcentral describes it as "partial 16S ribosomal RNA". It matches the Rfam family "Bacterial small subunit ribosomal RNA", at positions 503 to 807 of the family's 1533-position model. The record is from RNAcentral.
AAGAGACAGCAGUAGCCGCGGUAAUACAGAGGGUGCGAGCGUUAAUCGGAUUUACUGGGCGUAAAGCGUGCGUAGGCGGCUUUUUAAGUCGGAUGUGAAAUCCCCGAGCUUAACUUGGGAAUUGCAUUCGAUACCGGGAAGCUCGAGUAUGGGAGAGGAUGGUAGAAUUCCAGGUGUAGCGGUGAAAUGCGUAGAGAUCUGGAGGAAUACCGAUGGCGAAGGCAGCCAUCUGGCCUAAUACUGACGCUGAGGUACGAAAGCAUGGGGAGCAAACAGGAUUAGAUACCCCUGUAGUCCCUGUCUCUUAUAC